Astatotilapia calliptera (eastern happy) is the source of this 1561-nucleotide long non-coding RNA. The record is from Ensembl. NCBI's taxonomy places the organism in Eukaryota, Metazoa, Chordata, Actinopteri, Cichliformes, Cichlidae.
GGGAGAAGUGAGACAGUGCAGCAGAACACGACAUCCUUGGAUCGCAAUGCCUCCUUGGUUGUUUGGUGAAAACAAUCAUGACACAAGGCCUUCCAGGAUUUCUGUAAUAAUAUAAGUCUACCCAUGAGGAUAUAGGCUCCUUGACUUUUUAUUAAGCGUGUCAGUAGCCUGAGUGGCUGGUAAAUACAAUAACAUUCAGAAACCAAAUCAGUGUCUCAGAGGAUCCCCGAGUAAGUUUUAUGCUGGGAGAAGGUUUGCUGCAAAGUGGUCACAGACUUUUAGUUAUUAUAGAGUAUUAAGGCUUCUAUUUGUGGCACGGGCGGCAGAGAUUGACAGUCACGGAUAGAGCAUCCUGCCAACUUCUCCGUCAGCCGUGCCACACAGCUAGGCUUUGCUCUUCGUAGAUUAAAAAGACAGCUAGCUGAAGGAGUCCCAGUCAUGAUGUGAAUGAAGUAAGAUAAUUUAAUGUCGAGAGAUGUUAUAUGUCAGGGAGUUCAGUUUUGAAAAUUAUAUGAUCGAUAUCAUUGUUGUUGUCCAGUUUUAAGUACUGUAAACGCCACACUUUCUUCAUCUCGAUGCCCCUCCAUUUUUUUGCGCUAACGUGCAUUCACACAAGAAAAUAAUGGAUCGAUUGUUUUAAGCAUUUACAAAGCAGCGGUUUUGUGGUUUUAUAUUUAUUCAUCCAUUUGCUUUGUUUGCUUGUUUGUUUGUUUAGGGGGAGGGGAAUCUGUUCUUCAGUUGAUUUUCACGUUUUGAUUUUCCGUUCAACUUGUUUGGUCUAAAUUUUUUGGUACCAGAGGCCAAACGGUACAAAGCUAUGUGGCCUGUGGCUAAAACUAGUUCAGCCAAGUGAAAAUCAGGGACUCAUAGCUCUUUUGGUCACACAAACUACUGUUGUAUUGUGUAUAUACUGGACAGGAGUCUGUCUGUAAACCUGAAUCGUUCAGGCUCCUGUCAUUUAAACCCCAUUCAGAUAAAUUUAAGUAAAAAAAAAUUCAACACCCUAUUCAUACAAGAUCCAUCAUCUCUACCUUUGUCAGUGUUGUUUAUAGAUUAAGUCUUGUACAUAUACACAGUUUUGUAUGAAGAGCUAUUUUUUCGUCAGAAUAAAUCAGGGGACACAUCAGGGUUGAAUGCCCCAGUUUCAAAAUUGAAAUAGUAUUAAGAAAAAAGUAUUUUACUUCUGAAAUGGGCAAAAAAACAACAACAUUUUUUCUUUCCCUUUACGUUUUUUGAUACUAAUUUGUUGAAUUUUUAUUCUUUUUUUAAAGUCUUUUGAUGUUGUCAUUUGUCCUUUUUCCUUUUUUUUAAUUAGCAUUAUUUUAUAUUUUGUUCAUCCUCAAAUUAAGUCAUUGCAUGCUUGCUAAAAGGGAAAAAUUGAAGGGAAAAAGUGUAUGAAAAUCCAAACUUAAAAAAAAAAUGUUGAGGGUAUCCCAAACAUUUGUUUGAGUUGCUUGUUACAGCAAUUGCUUGUGUUCAAAGGUACAUUUUCUAUGAAAAGAAAGCAAAAACUAAAAAGAUCAUUUAACACCUUGUGCAAUAAAGCUAUCUUUCAUAUGUC